UAGAAGGUAGUAUAAGGAGUACUAAGGAUUUUGAGUCUUUAUGUGCGGGUUCGAUUCCUGUUCUUCUA
RNAcentral lists this transfer RNA (68 nucleotides) under Sceloporus teapensis. RNAcentral describes it as "tRNA-Gln". It matches the Rfam family "tRNA". From Rfam's summary of the family: Transfer RNA (tRNA) molecules are approximately 80 nucleotides in length. The record is from RNAcentral. Lineage: Eukaryota; Metazoa; Chordata; Lepidosauria; Squamata; Phrynosomatidae.